AACGUAGGUCACAAGCGUUGUCCGGAAUUACUGGGUGUAAAGGGAGCGCAGGCGGGAGAACAAGUUGGAAGUGAAAUCCAUGGGCUCAACCCAUGAACUGCUUUCAAAACUGUUUUUCUUGAGUAGUGCAGAGGUAGGCGGAAUUCCCGGUGUAGCGGUGGAAUGCGUAGAUAUCGGGAGGAACACCAGUGGCGAAGGCGGCCUACUGGGCACCAACUGACGCUGAGGCUCGAAAGUGUGGGUAGCAAACAGGAUUAGAUACCCUGGUAGGCUGACUGACU
RNAcentral lists this ribosomal RNA (281 nucleotides) under Faecalibacterium prausnitzii. Its description in RNAcentral is "partial 16S ribosomal RNA". It matches the Rfam family "Bacterial small subunit ribosomal RNA", at positions 524 to 805 of the family's 1533-position model. Lineage: Bacteria; Bacillati; Bacillota; Clostridia; Eubacteriales; Oscillospiraceae. The record is from RNAcentral.